UACGGAGGGUGCAAGCGUUAUUCGGAAUUACUGGGCGUAAAGCGCACGUAGGCGGCCUUGUAAGUCAGGGGUGAAAUCCCACGGCUCAACCGUGGAACUGCCUUUGAAACUGCAGGGCUUGAAUCCUGGAGAGGGUGGCGGAAUUCCUGGUGUAGGAGUGAAAUCCGUAGAUAUCAGGAGGAACACCAGUGGCGAAGGCGGCUCACUGGUCCGGUACUGACGCUGAGGUGCGAAAGCGUGGGGAGCAAACAGG
This 253-nucleotide ribosomal RNA is filed under the name uncultured bacterium. RNAcentral's name for it is "partial 16S ribosomal RNA". It matches the Rfam family "Bacterial small subunit ribosomal RNA", at positions 524 to 776 of the family's 1533-position model. The record is from RNAcentral.